Molecule: non-coding RNA, 1246 nt
Organism: Camellia sinensis
Lineage: Eukaryota; Viridiplantae; Streptophyta; Magnoliopsida; Ericales; Theaceae
Source: RefSeq, a predicted model, not a curated record
UAUCAGUACCAUGGUGGAACAAAUUUUGGGCGGACAGUUGCUGGUCUCUUCAUUGCCAUUAGCUACGACUAUGAUGCUCCGAUUGAUAAAUAUGGAUUACUAAGAGAACCAAAAUGUGGGCAUUUGACAAAUUUGCACAAAGCUAUCAAGCAAUGUGAACCAGCUUUGGUUUCCUCGUAUCCCGCAGUGACUUGGCCUGGCAAUAAUCUAGAGGUAGAUUAAGCAAAAGCUAUGAAUAUAUACUGUGGUUUUCAACAUUUGUUGCUUUUUUGACAAUUGAAACUCGCUCUUUUUCAUCAACGGUCAACUAUCAGGAACCGUGUACGGGCCACUAGGGAAUCCAAAACUGACAUAUAGCAGCACUGUGAAGUUGAGAGCCGGAAUUAACAAGAUUUCUUUACUAAUUGUUGCUGUUGGCCUUCCGGUUAGUCCAUACCUUCUGAUAAAAGUUUACAUUCUUGGGAUGUUAAUGACAGUAAUGGAAUCUUUCUAAAUUCUAUUGGAUCGAUUUCAUAAUGUCGGUGUGCAUUAUGAGACAUGGAACACGGGGGUUCUUGGCCCGGUCACACUGAAGGGCCUCAAUGAGGGGACAAGAGACUUGACAAAGCAACAGUGGUCUUACAAGGUUUGUUUUUGUUUUCAUGAGUUUUCUGCUUCCAUUUCCUGUUUCCAAGUAUACUCUCUACAUUUCAAAAUGGUAAAAGUCCGAGGCAAUGAUGAAACCAGUAAGUUUCCUUCAAAGUCGAGUGGUGAAAACAAUAAUAAAGGGAUACCAGAAUUUAUCAGAAGAUAAUAAUAAUAUAGGGAUACCGGGAUGAAAUAAAGCAUGACAUGGGAAAAGAAGUUCAUAUAGUUCAUAAACAAGCAAUAAAAAUUAAGAUUGAUGUUUCUAUGUUGGUUGGUCUAAAAGGCGAGAACUCAAAACUGCAAACCCUUGAUGGAAGUUCCUCUGUUGAGUGGGCUGAGGGAUCACUAUUGGCUACAAAACAACCCUUGACAUGGUACAAGGUAAUAAUCAUCCCAAACCCCCCGUUAACGCCUUUUCAUUGAUACUUAUGAGUUCCAUUACCAUAGAUGCACAAAUGAAUUCAUAAAAGAAGCUUUUAAUUCAUUGAACAAUCUUUCCAGACUACAUUCAACGCACCAGCAGGAAAUGAUCCAUUAGCUCUUUUUUUUUUUUUGGUUGAUUCUCCUUUCUCAUCUCUCUCUGAUUUUGAUUUGAUUUCUAGAGUUUUGACUUUGAUUU